UUCACGAAAAACAGGUGGUUU
Caenorhabditis elegans is the source of this 21-nucleotide non-coding RNA. The record is from Ensembl. Lineage: Eukaryota; Metazoa; Nematoda; Chromadorea; Rhabditida; Rhabditidae.